This 253-nucleotide ribosomal RNA is filed under the name uncultured bacterium. RNAcentral's name for it is "partial 16S ribosomal RNA". It matches the Rfam family "Bacterial small subunit ribosomal RNA", at positions 524 to 776 of the family's 1533-position model. The record is from RNAcentral.
UACGAAGGGGGCUAGCGUUGCUCGGAAUUAUUGGGCGUAAAGGGUGCGUAGGCGGCUGUACAAGUCAAAGGUGAAAUCCCUCGGCUCAACUGAGGAACUGCCUUUGAAACUGUACGGCUUGAGGCCGGGAGGGGGUAGCGGAAUUCCCAGUGUAGCGGUGAAAUGCGUAGAUACUGGGAGGAACACCAGUGGCGAAGGCGGCUUCCUGGACCGGUUCUGACGCUGAGGCGCGAAAGCGUGGGUAGCAAACAGG